UUCGCAAUGCCCGAAAGGGUGACGAAGCGACGCCGCGUGUGGGAAGAAGGCCUUCGGGUUGUAAACCACUGUCGGGAGUUAAGAAAUGUAAGGGUGUUAAUAGCGCCUUUACUUGACAAAGGCUCCGGAGGAAGCCACGGCUAACUCUGUGCCAGCAGCCGCGGUAAUACAGAGGCGGCAAGCGUUGUUCGGAAUUAUUGGGCGUAAAGAGCACGUAGGCGGCUUUGCAAGUCAGUUGUGAAAGCCUUCCGCUUAACGGAAGAACAGCAGCUGAUACUACAGAGCUUGAGUACGGGAGGGGAGAGUGGAACUUCUGGUGGAGCGGUGAAAUGCGUAGAUAUCAGAAGGAACGCCGGCGGCGAAAGCGAUUCUCUGGUCCGAAACUGACGCUGAGUGUGCGAAAGCUAGGGGAUCAAACGGGAUUAGAUACCCCGGUAGUCCUAGCCGUAAACGAUGGGCACUAAGUAGAGGGGUUUU
Molecule: ribosomal RNA, 477 nt
Filed under: uncultured Planctomycetota bacterium
Lineage: Bacteria; Pseudomonadati; Planctomycetota
Description: bacterial SSU rRNA
Rfam family: Bacterial small subunit ribosomal RNA
Source: RNAcentral